Molecule: ribosomal RNA, 253 nt
Filed under: uncultured bacterium
Lineage: Bacteria
Description: partial 16S ribosomal RNA
Rfam family: Bacterial small subunit ribosomal RNA
Source: RNAcentral
UACGUAGGGGGCUAGCGUUGUCCGGAAUCAUUGGGCGUAAAGAGCAUGUAGGCGGCCCGGUAAGUCCGCUGUGAAAGUCGGGGGCUCAACCCUCGAAUGCCGGUGGAUACUGUCGGGCUAGAGUGCGGAAGAGGCGAGUGGAAUUCCUGGUGUAGCGGUGAAAUUCGUAGAUAUUAGGAAGAACACCGGUGGCGAAGGCGGCCCACUGGAUCGGUACUGACGCUGAGGUGCGAAAGCGUGGGGAGCAAACAGG